UUCUGAACUUCCUUGACGACCUUCUCCACAUUUGCGGUCGGGCUACCCUUCCUCCACACGCUCUUCAGCGUCUUCGACUUGCGGAGAGCCGAACUCUCAGGAUCCGGCCUGCCUACUCUAGGACUAGUGUUGUUUAACCUACCUUCAGUCUUAGCCUCUCUACCAGUCAAUUUUACAGAGGUCGAUGCUUCCAGCUUCUCGGCUUUCUCCAAGACCUCCCCGAGGGACUCUAUCACCUUCUCCCUGUCCUCCGCUGCCCUUUCUAUCCGGUCGUCACGGACGAACUUUGCGGGGCUCCAGGGGGCCGGGCUCGCGGGUUCCGCCGGAGAACUCGGGCGCGCGCUCAAAACUGGUUUGGGAGCAGGCUUGAGAACAAUGUCGGAGUUCUCAUCCUUGCUGAUGCUGCUGGCGCCGCUGAUGGGGCUGCUGGCGCCCCUAAUGGCGGACUCCAUGCUCCCCUUCUCCAUCAAAUCCGUCCUCACCAUGCACUUGCAGACACCAUGAGCCCAUCGCCGCGUCAGAAGGGAAUUCGAGUAGGUAAUCCUAGAAACCACCCGAAUUCUCCCCAGCACCAGAGGGGACGAGCAGCAGUCCAGCCCCCCAGAAGGGCUAGCCCUCGCGCCUCCCAACGUCGCCAGUGUCGCAGGAGAGGCCAUCAGGUCGUCUUCACCAAGAACUCACGAUCCAGAGCAUAGCACGCGAACGGCGCAAAGGAAGGCUCCUCCUUCACUCUCCGGGCGGGCUCCGGGGGCCGCUAGAGGCAAAACCCAGUUGAUAUUCAACGGGCAUGGGGCAGAGAAUCGCUCCGGGGAAGUUACCCGGCUGCGGAGAAGAGAAGAUAAAAAAACCCCGGGUUCUUAAUUAUCCGGGGGAGGAACCAGAAGCCUCGACCUCCGCCUGGCGGCAGCAACCACGGGCAGAGCAGUAAUGCCAAUGGAGGAGGAGGCGCGCGAGAGAGGGAGAGGGUUGGGUUACCUGGACGGGAGGGCGCCUCGGGGGCUCUCUCAGUUUACCCUCCUUCCUCUCGGCGGAAGCGGGAGAGAAGAGAGGAGAGGGACGUGCGGGCCUGAGGAUUGGGUUGCCCUUCUCUCUCCUCCCCCUCUCUUCCGACUGGGCUUCAACAUCUCCCCCCUUUGCCUGGUCGGCCUGGUCUGGUCUACCCACCCCCCAUCGCAUCC
Molecule: long non-coding RNA, 1178 nt
Filed under: Spirodela polyrhiza (greater duckweed)
Lineage: Eukaryota; Viridiplantae; Streptophyta; Magnoliopsida; Alismatales; Araceae
Description: long non-coding RNA (SPOL_LNC002018)
Source: RNAcentral